GUCAUGUGGCUCAGUGGUAGAGCUUCAGUUUCACGUGCGAAAGGUCUUGGGUUCGAUCCCCGGUGUUGGCG
This is a non-coding RNA of Aphanomyces astaci, 71 nucleotides long. The record is from the annotation of a RefSeq genome assembly. Lineage: Eukaryota; Oomycota; Saprolegniomycetes; Saprolegniales; Verrucalvaceae.